CCCCUACUCCUCCCAAGGGUCACCUGAUCCUCCGUCCAAGCCAAAAGCAUGAACGUUGGCAAUCUCAAGGAUCUGAAGGAUCCAUGUGUGACAAAACAGAAUCCUGAGAGUGAGAUGAUGAUAAGAGGCACCCUGAUGAACUGAAACCACUGGUUCAUCCUUUGCAAGUGAACCCCUUGGAGAAGCAAACCCUCAAGAGUCCAACAAACUACACAUGGAAGAGUAGACUACAUGGAUCUAAUACAAUCAAAGAUCAACUAAUCCAGACAGAGAGUGUCAGAUCUCCAUUCAAGUUCCAGUCCAUCACCAGUGGAGUUGCAGUGUUG
Asterias rubens (European starfish) is the source of this 326-nucleotide long non-coding RNA. RefSeq lists it as uncharacterized. The record is from RefSeq and is a predicted model, not a curated record. The transcript is spliced from 3 exons. NCBI's taxonomy places the organism in Eukaryota, Metazoa, Echinodermata, Asteroidea, Forcipulatida, Asteriidae.